This 253-nucleotide ribosomal RNA is filed under the name uncultured bacterium. RNAcentral describes it as "partial 16S ribosomal RNA". It matches the Rfam family "Bacterial small subunit ribosomal RNA", at positions 524 to 776 of the family's 1533-position model. The record is from RNAcentral.
UACGUAGGGGCCGAGCGUUGUCCGGAGUUACUGGGCGUAAAGCGCGCGCAGGCGGCUCGUCAAGCCUGACGUGAAAGCCCCCGGCUCAACCGGGGAGGGUCGUCGGGGACUGGCGAGCUUGAGGUCGGCAGGGGCUGGUGGAAUUCCCGGUGUAGUGGUGAAAUGCGUAGAGAUCGGGAGGAACACCCGUGGCGAAGGCGGCCAGCUGGGCCGUACCUGACGCUGAGGCGCGAAGGCGUGGGGAGCGAACGGG